RNAcentral lists this small nuclear RNA (19 nucleotides) under Arabidopsis thaliana (thale cress). RNAcentral describes it as "snRNA_10219". The record is from RNAcentral. Lineage: Eukaryota; Viridiplantae; Streptophyta; Magnoliopsida; Brassicales; Brassicaceae.
GUGAAAUGACUUGAGAGGU